AAGCGAGCGUACACAGGUGCUGCAUGGCUGUCGUCAGCUCGUGUCGUGAGAUGUUGGGUUAAGUCCCGCCAACGAGCGCAACCCCUGCAUUCAGUUGCCAUCGGGUAAUGCCGGGCACUCUGGAAGGACUGCCAUCGACAAGAUGGAGGAAGGUGGGGAGUGACGUCAAGUCAUCAUGGCCCUUAUGUCCAGGGCGACACACGUGCUACAAUGGCCGGCACAACGGGAAGCGAGUUCGCGAGGACGAGCGGAUCCCUCAAAGCCGGUCGCAGUUCGGAUUGAAGUCUGCAACUCGACUUCAUGAAGCUGGAAUCGCUAGUAAUCGUGGAUCAGCCAAGCCGCGGUGAAUACGUUCCCGGGCCUU
RNAcentral lists this ribosomal RNA (364 nucleotides) under uncultured Synergistaceae bacterium. RNAcentral's name for it is "bacterial SSU rRNA". It matches the Rfam family "Bacterial small subunit ribosomal RNA", at positions 1022 to 1382 of the family's 1533-position model. The record is from RNAcentral. Lineage: Bacteria; Thermotogati; Synergistota; Synergistia; Synergistales; Synergistaceae.